Molecule: small RNA, 29 nt
Filed under: Bombyx mori (domestic silkworm)
Lineage: Eukaryota; Metazoa; Arthropoda; Insecta; Lepidoptera; Bombycidae
Description: ovarian small RNA-26021
Source: RNAcentral
UCAUCACAGGGGGGACGAAGGCCGUCCCG